UUGACCUCGGAUCAGGUAGGGAUACCCGCUGAACUUAAGCAUAUCAAUAAGCGGAGGAAAAGAAACCAACAGGGAUUGCCUCAGUAACGGCGAGUGAAGCGGCAACAGCUCAAAUUUGAAAUCUGGCUCUUGGGGUCCGAGUUGUAAUUUGUAGAAGAUGCUUCGGGUGUGGCUCCGGUCUAAGUUCCUUGGAACAGGACGUCAUAGAGGGUGAAGAUCCCGUAUGUGACUGG
RNAcentral lists this ribosomal RNA (233 nucleotides) under uncultured Helotiales. Its description in RNAcentral is "partial 28S ribosomal RNA". It matches the Rfam family "Eukaryotic large subunit ribosomal RNA", at positions 1 to 232 of the family's 3401-position model. Lineage: Eukaryota; Fungi; Ascomycota; Leotiomycetes; Helotiales. The record is from RNAcentral.